Molecule: transfer RNA, 77 nt
Filed under: Terriglobus albidus
Lineage: Bacteria; Pseudomonadati; Acidobacteriota; Terriglobia; Terriglobales; Acidobacteriaceae
Also listed under: 4 other names
Description: tRNA-Arg
Rfam family: tRNA
About the family: Transfer RNA (tRNA) molecules are approximately 80 nucleotides in length. Their secondary structure includes four short double-helical elements and three loops (D, anti-codon, and T loops). Further hydrogen bonds mediate the characteristic L-shaped molecular structure. tRNAs have two regions of fundamental functional importance: the anti-codon, which is responsible for specific mRNA codon recognition, and the 3' end, to which the tRNAs corresponding amino acid is attached (by aminoacyl-tRNA synthetases). tRNAs cope with the degeneracy of the genetic code in two manners: having more than one tRNA (with a specific anti-codon) for a particular amino acid; and 'wobble' base-pairing, i.e. permitting non-standard base-pairing at the 3rd anti-codon position.
Source: RNAcentral
GCGCCCGUAGCUCAGCUGGAUAGAGCGAAUGACUACGAAUCAUUAGGUCGGAGGUUCGACUCCUUCCGGGCGCACCA